UACGUAGGGCGCAAGCGUUAUCCGGAAUUAUUGGGCGUAAAGAGCUCGUAGGCGGUUUGCCGCGUCUGCCGUGAAAGUCCGGGGCUCAACUCCGGAUCUGCGGUGGGUACGGGCAGGCUAGAGUGAUGUAGGGGAGACUGGAAUUCCUGGUGUAGCGGUGAAAUGCGCAGAUAUCAGGAGGAACACCGAUGGCGAAGGCAGGUCUCUGGGCAUUAACUGACGCUGAGGAGCGAAAGCAUGGGGAGCGAACAGG
Molecule: ribosomal RNA, 253 nt
Filed under: uncultured bacterium
Lineage: Bacteria
Description: partial 16S ribosomal RNA
Rfam family: Bacterial small subunit ribosomal RNA
Source: RNAcentral